AGAGGACGUUGCCGGAGAGGGACACUGUCCCCGCUUUCUCUCCCCCGUUAGAACAUCGGUUAAUGUGUAACACGUACAGAGAUUGUGGGGGGUGGGGGAGAGCGUUUUGGAUGAUAUUAUAAAAACAGAGGGAAUAACGAAACACAAAAAAAACUAGACCGGACUGUGUUGGAUUCCGGUUUACAAAGGAACAAGAUGUUGACGGUAACAUGUCUAUCUGACUUGUGUUGUAUCCUUAUAUAUAGUUACAUUCUUAUUAGAAUUUGGAUUGAGUAAUGGAACUUUGUUGCGUACAUGUAUAAUACUGAUGCGGUGUUAUGAGUUAGAAUCAACGACA
Molecule: long non-coding RNA, 337 nt
Filed under: Brassica napus (rape)
Lineage: Eukaryota; Viridiplantae; Streptophyta; Magnoliopsida; Brassicales; Brassicaceae
Description: long non-coding RNA (BNAP_LNC019761)
Source: RNAcentral